This 371-nucleotide long non-coding RNA is filed under the name Brassica napus (rape). RNAcentral's name for it is "long non-coding RNA (BNAP_LNC026976)". The record is from RNAcentral. Lineage: Eukaryota; Viridiplantae; Streptophyta; Magnoliopsida; Brassicales; Brassicaceae.
ACCUGCAAGUCUCAGUUUCAAGUAAUCAACUCUUUACAUUCAUUAAAAAGGGCGUGACCUUUCCACCAAAGAUAUCUCCAUCAGGUAUAACGGGCUCGGUGUUUGGGAGGCUGUUUUAGUGUUUAAUUAGGUGAGGCUCAAGUGUUUGUGGGUAUCAGCGAUAUCAAAAAAAAAAAAAUGCAAAACAUUAUGCAAAAUCGCUGGAGAGACCGAGUAUAUUGAUAACCAUGUUUUCGAACUGCUCAAGUCUCAAAUGAUCAAAACCCAACAAAUCUCAAACUCUAACCCCAAAUUUAAACAAUGCAUCAUCUCUAGUACACAAAAUAAAAAUAAAAUGUCUAAAUCAAAUCUACUGAAUGAGAUAUAAACAU